Molecule: unclassified non-coding RNA, 546 nt
Filed under: Hevea brasiliensis (rubber tree)
Lineage: Eukaryota; Viridiplantae; Streptophyta; Magnoliopsida; Malpighiales; Euphorbiaceae
Source: RNAcentral
GUACAAUGUCUAAUAUCAAUUGAGGGCAUCGAUCUCAAUGCUGUCAAUAAGGCUGGAGACACAGCUCUUGAUAUUGCAGAAAAGUCUGGCUCUCCGCAGCUCAUUUCCAUUUUGAAGGAGGCAGGAGCUACCCGUUCUAAAGAUGAUGGGAGACCUCCAACGGCUGCAAAGCAGCUCAAACAGACUGUCAGUGACAUACGACAUGAUGUGGAGUCCCAACUCCAACACAGUCGUCAAACUGGUUUCAGAGUGCGGAAAAUUGCAAAGAAUGUGAAAAAGCUCCACAUUAGUGGUCUUAACAAUGCAAUCAACAAUGCGACAGUUGUUGCUGUUCUUAUUGCUACUGUAGCUUUUGCUGCCAUCUUCACUGUACCUGGCCAAUAUAUUGAAGAGAAAGCAGAUGGGGUUUCGCUCGGUGAAGCGCACAUAGCCAGGAAAGCAUCUUUCAUAAUAUUUUUCUUGUUUGACAGUAUGGCCUUGUUUAUUUCCAUUGCUGUUGUGGUGGUACAAACUUCUGUGGUGGUGAUUGAACAGAAGGCAAAGAAG